Molecule: ribosomal RNA, 250 nt
Filed under: uncultured bacterium
Lineage: Bacteria
Description: partial 16S ribosomal RNA
Rfam family: Bacterial small subunit ribosomal RNA
Source: RNAcentral
UACAGAGACCUCAAGCGUUAUCCGGAUUUAUUGGGCGUAAAGCGCGCGUAGGCGGACAUAUUAGUCAGACGUCAAAUCUUCGAGCUCAACUCGAAAACUGCGUUUGAAACGGUAUGUCUUGAGAGAGUGAGAGACCAGUGGAACAUAUGGUGUAGCAGUGAAAUGCGUUGAUAUCAUAUGGAACACCAAAGGCGAAAGCAUCUGGUUGGCACUCUUCUGACGCUAAGGCGCGAAAGCGUGGGUAGCGAAU